RNAcentral lists this ribosomal RNA (625 nucleotides) under uncultured bacterium. RNAcentral's name for it is "bacterial SSU rRNA". It matches the Rfam family "Bacterial small subunit ribosomal RNA", at positions 226 to 842 of the family's 1533-position model. The record is from RNAcentral.
UGGGCCCGCGGCGCAUUAGCUAGUUGGUGGGGUAAAGGCUUACCAAGGCAAUGAUGCGUAGCCGAAUUGAGAGGUUGAUCGGCCACAUUGGGACUGAGACACGGCCCAAACUCCUACGGGAGGCAGCAGUAGGGAAUCUUCCACAAUGGGCGAAAGCCUGAUGGAGCAACGCCGCGUGGGUGAAGAAGGUCUUCGGAUCGUAAAACCCUGUUGUUAGAGAAGAAAGUGCGUGAGAGUAACUGUUCACGUUUCGACGGUAUCUAACCAGAAAGCCACGGCUAACUACGUGCCAGCAGCCGCGGUAAUACGUAGGUGGCAAGCGUUAUCCGGAUUUAUUGGGCGUAAAGGGAACGCAGGCGGUCUUUUAAGUCUGAUGUGAAAGCCUUCGGCUUAACCGGAGUAGUGCAUUGGAAACUGGGAGACUUGAGUGCAGAAGAGGAGAGUGGAACUCCAUGUGUAGCGGUGAAAUGCGUAGAUAUAUGGAAGAACACCAGUGGCGAAAGCGGCUCUCUGGUCUGUAACUGACGCUGAGGUUCGAAAGCGUGGGUAGCAAACAGGAUUAGAUACCCUGGUAGUCCACGCCGUAAACGAUGAAUGCUAAGUGUUGGAGGGUUUCCGCCCUUCA